RNAcentral lists this long non-coding RNA (1081 nucleotides) under Lonchura striata (white-rumped munia). RNAcentral describes it as "domestica (Bengalese finch) lncRNA (ENSLSDG00000017866.1)". Lineage: Eukaryota; Metazoa; Chordata; Aves; Passeriformes; Estrildidae. The record is from RNAcentral.
CCAGGAAUUGUUGUGCCACAGCAGUGCCUAUUUUGAAUUAAGGAAAAUCAAGCCUUGAUGAACAGCCAGAAUGAGAAGUGGGACUAAUUCCCUGCAGCUGGGUCUCUGCUAAACACAACCAGCCCCAAAAUGCUGCCCCAUCUGCAAACUGGACGUGAGCAGCUCAAUUCAUCCCAAAAAAUCCCAAAAUACACUGCAUUCCUGCACUGCUGCAUCUCUAACUCCAGACAAGCCUUGGCUGCCUAUUUCUUUUUUUUUUUUUUUUUAAUUCUGCAAUGAAACUAUGCAGGAAAGAUCCCAACCAUGCAAAGGAAUAUUCUCAGCUAAUAUAAAUCAGGGUUAUUUCACAAAAGGCAAUGAACUGAAGCUGGUUUAUGUCUCCUACAGCUGUAGAUCAAAACAGAAUUAGCUUGAAACCUGCUGCAUGGAGCUAUUUAGAAUUAUUUGUGAAGUGCCUAAUCCCCAGAAGCUUAUGUUCAGAAAGGAUUUUUGGCAGCUAAGCCAGGAAAAGCCACAGAGCAAUCACCAUAAAAUCUCACUGACACUAGCAAGGGUGAGGAGUGUCACUGGAAUGAAAAUAUCCUGGCACCUUUCACACAACAUCAUGCCACUGCUUCAAGAAAGAAUCAUGGGGAGAUCAACCUCACUGCAAUAAAUAUUUCUCAUUUCCAGCGAAACUGAGGAAUUCCACAGGCCAAAGCUGUGCAAUGCAAAGCACUGUAGGGACAAAGAGAAACCAUCCCAGGUAGCACCAUAAACAAACAGGUAAAAAGUGGGAGUAGGAACAGUUUCAAAGCAUUAAAAUUAUUUAUUCAGCAUCAUGCAGUUAAGGAACUCUGCUGAGUAAGAUGCAGGUUGUCUGACUCUCAUUUUUGACUUCUGACAACCACAUGCUGCUUUUCUCCCAAGCCCACAAUCUAUACCACAUCUCUCUGCUUGUUUACCAGCUCAAAAUCCAUGAAUUACAAAAACUCUAUUUCCCCUCUCCAUAACUAUGCACUGCUAAACUUCAGAGCAGCAGAUGGACUAAGGGAUGUAAAAGAACUGCAGAAAAUAAAAAGGUAAAUUACUUCUGAGAACA